GGUUUUAACCCAGUAUCUCAAGGUACUUCGGGCUUCUGACCACCUUUCGGGGUUGCGUCAAAACCUAAAUUUUUGGCUAGCCUUUCCGGGGAUUCCGGGAGGGCAAC
Haemonchus contortus (barber pole worm) is the source of this 107-nucleotide non-coding RNA. The record is from Rfam. NCBI's taxonomy places the organism in Eukaryota, Metazoa, Nematoda, Chromadorea, Rhabditida, Trichostrongylidae.